UACAGAGGGUGCAAGCGUUAAUCGGAAUUACUGGGCGUAAAGCGUGCGCAGGCGGUUUUGUAAGUCAGAUGUGAAAUCCCCGGGCUUAACCUGGGAAUUGCAGUGGAUACUGGCAAGCUGGAGUAUGGUAGAGGAAGGUGGAAUUCCCGGUGUAGCAGUGAAAUGCGUAGAGAUCGGGAGGAACACCAGUGGCGAAGGCGGCCUUCUGGACCAAUACUGACGCUCAUGCACGAAAGCGUGGGGAGCAAACAGG
This 253-nucleotide ribosomal RNA is filed under the name uncultured bacterium. RNAcentral describes it as "partial 16S ribosomal RNA". It matches the Rfam family "Bacterial small subunit ribosomal RNA", at positions 524 to 776 of the family's 1533-position model. The record is from RNAcentral.